This 374-nucleotide ribosomal RNA is filed under the name uncultured prokaryote. Its description in RNAcentral is "bacterial SSU rRNA". It matches the Rfam family "Bacterial small subunit ribosomal RNA", at positions 524 to 896 of the family's 1533-position model. The record is from RNAcentral.
UACAGAGGUCCCGAGCGUUGUUCGGAUUUACUGGGCGUAAAGGGUGCGUAGGUGGUUGGGUAAGUUUGAGGUGAAAGCUCCGAGCCUAACUCGGAAAAUGCCUUGAAGACUAUCUGACUAGAGGAUUGGAGGGGAGACUGGAAUUCUCGGUGUAGCAGUGAAAUGCGUAGAUAUCGAGGGGAACACCAGUGGCGAAGGCGAGUCUCUGGACAAUUCCUGACACUGAGGCACGAAAGCCAAGGGAGCGAACGGGAUUAGAUAGCCCGGUAGUCUUGGCUGUAAGCAGUGCGCGCUUGCUGUGAGCGGAUUCGACCCCGCUCGUGGCGAAGUUAACGCGAUAAGUGCGCCGCCUGGGAAGUACGAUCGCAAGAUUA